RNAcentral lists this ribosomal RNA (762 nucleotides) under Psychrobacter sp. P1-5(2011). Its description in RNAcentral is "bacterial SSU rRNA". It matches the Rfam family "Bacterial small subunit ribosomal RNA", at positions 51 to 806 of the family's 1533-position model. Lineage: Bacteria; Pseudomonadati; Pseudomonadota; Gammaproteobacteria; Moraxellales; Moraxellaceae. The record is from RNAcentral.
ACACAUGCAAGUCGAGCGGUAACAGGAGAAGCUUGCUUCUCGCUGACGAGCGGCGGACGGGUGAGUAAUACUUAGGAAUCUACCUAGUAGUGGGGGAUAGCACGGGGAAACUCGUAUUAAUACCGCAUACGACCUACGGGAGAAAGGGGGCAGUUUACUGCUCUCGCUAUUAGAUGAGCCUAAGUCGGAUUAGCUAGAUGGUGGGGUAAAGGCCUACCAUGGCGACGAUCUGUAGCUGGUCUGAGAGGAUGAUCAGCCACACCGGGACUGAGACACGGCCCGGACUCCUACGGGAGGCAGCAGUGGGGAAUAUUGGACAAUGGGGGAAACCCUGAUCCAGCCAUGCCGCGUGUGUGAAGAAGGCCUUUUGGUUGUAAAGCACUUUAAGCAGUGAAGAAGACUCCAUGGUUAAUACCCAUGGACGAUGACAUUAGCUGCAGAAUAAGCACCGGCUAACUCUGUGCCAGCAGCCGCGGUAAUACAGAGGGUGCAAGCGUUAAUCGGAAUUACUGGGCGUAAAGGGAGCGUAGGUGGCUCUAUAAGUCAGAUGUGAAAUCCCCGGGCUUAACCUGGGAACUGCAUCUGAAACUGUAGAGCUAGAGUAUGUGAGAGGAAGGUAGAAUUCCAGGUGUAGCGGUGAAAUGCGUAGAGAUCUGGAGGAAUACCGAUGGCGAAGGCAGCCUUCUGGCAUAAUACUGACACUGAGGCUCGAAAGCGUGGGUAGCAAACAGGAUUAGAUACCCUGGUAGUCCACGCCGUAAA